This is a non-coding RNA of Pogona vitticeps (central bearded dragon), 1147 nucleotides long. The record is from the annotation of a RefSeq genome assembly. Lineage: Eukaryota; Metazoa; Chordata; Lepidosauria; Squamata; Agamidae.
GUGCAUAAUUUCAUCAUGGUCAAGGUGGCGAUUUUAUCACUGUGUUCCUACUCUGAACUUCACUUUGGAAAAGGAACGCGUCUUACAGUAAUUGGAGAGGGUGAACAUUCCAGCCCUCCAAAGGUGACCAUAUUUUCACCGUCUACACAGGAGCUCAAAGAAAAGAAUAAAGCUACAAUUGUGUGUUUGGUCACUGAUUUCUACCCAGAUCAUAUCAUUCUUACCUGGUCUGUGAAUGGCAAAGAAAGAAAAGGGGGUGUAAACACAGAGACACCCAAAUUGGAAUCCCCAGGCAAAUAUUCGCUGAUCAGUCGUUUAAGAGUCACCAGCCAAGAGUGGCAGAAUUCAUAUAACAAGUUUGACUGCAAAGUUAAGUUCUACGAUGAGACUAAAGCAUCAUCCUAUGAGGAGAGUAUACAUGGCAUAGACUGUGAUGGUGGCAUUGACCAAACAAGAGAAACAUAUCUCAGGACAGCCAAUCUUGGGAAACUGGUGUAUAUUCUUCUCAUUUUCAAGAGUUUCUUGUAUGGGGCAUUUGUGAUGGGCUGGAAGUUACGGAAAAAGUGACAUCCAUUGCUGUAGAAGCCCUUCGGCUGGAAGCACAUGUCACCUGUACUGAACGAACUCUGAGAAGCAAGAGAUACAUGGCUGCGCUGAAAAAUCUAGAGUGCCACAAACUGUCAAUAGUUUGAGUUAAUAAUUGCUUGCGGAUGCUUUUUAACUGCUGUACUUUUGAAAAAGCAAUAAUAUUUUCUGGUGUUUCUUUUCUGUUUUUACUCUGUUUACUUGGAACUAAGUUUGUGCAGAGGUGCAGCUUCAUAGUGCAACCUUAAUUAUACAUGUUUUUUUUCACAAACAUGCCAUACUGAAUCCCAUAGGACUUACCUCCAGAGAAGGAGGUUGGCCUUAAAGUUCUACUGAGUUUCAGAUUCAACAUGCGCAGCAGAAGCUUAUGCAUAAUUUGCUCAGAAGUGCAUCCUACCAAGAUAAACAAGAUUUUACUUCCAAGCAGGGGUAGAUAGUAUUGCAACCAUAUGAAUGUAUGUGAUUCUCCAGUUGCUAGAGUCUCUCUUUGACUAUCAUGCCUUGUAAACUUUUGUUGAUUCUCUGUCCUGACCUAUUUUUAGUAAAGUCACAGAACAGUUUU